AAGCUCGAAAAGUGUGGGGUUUCAAACAGGAAUUAGAUACCCUGGUAGUUCCACACGGGUAAACGAUGAAUACUCGCUGUUUGCGAUAUACGGGCAAGCGGCCAAGCGAAAAGCGUUAAGUAUUCCACCUGGGGAGUACGCCGGCAACGGUGAAAACUCAAAGGAAUUGACGGGGGCCCGCACAAGCGGAGGAACAUGUGGUUUAAUUCGAAUGAUACGCGAGGAACCUUACCCGGGCUUGAAUUGCAGAGGAAGGAUUUGGAGACAAUGACGCCCUUCGGGGUCUCUGUGAAGGUGCUGCAUGGUUGUCGUCAGCUCGUGCCGUGAGGUGUCGGCUUAAGUGCCAUAACGAGCGCAACCCCUCUCCUUAGUUGCCAUCAGGUGAAGCUGGGCACUCUGGGGACACUGCCACCGUAAGGUGUGAGGAAGGUGGGGAUGACGUCAAAUCAGCACGGCCCUUACGUCCGGGGCUACACACGUGUUACAAUGGCAGGUACAGAGAGAUGGUGUUCUGCAAAGCGCAUCUAAUCCUUAAAGCCUGUCUCAGUUCGGACUGGGGUCUGCAACCCGACCCCACGAAGCUGGAUUCGCUAGUAAUCGCGCAUCAGCCAUGGCUCGGUGAAUACGUUCCCGGGCCUUGUACACACCGCCCGUCAAGCCAUGAAAGCCGGGGGCGCCUAAAGUCCGUGACCGUAAGGAGCGGCAUAGGGGGAAACUGGUAAUUGGGGUAAGUCGUAACAAAA
RNAcentral lists this ribosomal RNA (743 nucleotides) under uncultured Prevotellaceae bacterium. RNAcentral describes it as "bacterial SSU rRNA". It matches the Rfam family "Bacterial small subunit ribosomal RNA", at positions 749 to 1496 of the family's 1533-position model. The record is from RNAcentral. Lineage: Bacteria; Pseudomonadati; Bacteroidota; Bacteroidia; Bacteroidales; Prevotellaceae.